AGCGAACGCUGGCGGCAGGCUUAACACAUGCAAGUCGAACGGGCUUCUUCGGAAGUCAGUGGCAGACGGGUGAGUAACACGUGGGAACGUGCCCUUCGGUUCGGAAUAACUCAGGGAAACUUGAGCUAAUACCGGAUACGCCCUUAUGGGGAAAGGUUUACUGCCGAAGGAUCGGCCCGCGUCUGAUUAGCUUGUUGGUGGGGUAACGGCCUACCAAGGCGACGAUCAGUAGCUGGUCUGAGAGGAUGAUCAGCCACACUGGGACUGAGACACGGCCCAGACUCCUACGGGAGGCAGCAGUGGGGAAUAUUGGACAAUGGGCGCAAGCCUGAUCAAGCCAUGCCGCGUGAGUGAUGAAGGCCUUAGGGUUGUAAAGCUCUUUUGUCCGGGACGAUAAUGACGGUACCGGAAGAAUAAGCCCCGGCUAACUUCGUG
Molecule: ribosomal RNA, 435 nt
Filed under: uncultured bacterium
Lineage: Bacteria
Description: partial 16S ribosomal RNA
Rfam family: Bacterial small subunit ribosomal RNA
Source: RNAcentral